This 449-nucleotide ribosomal RNA is filed under the name uncultured bacterium. RNAcentral's name for it is "partial 16S ribosomal RNA". It matches the Rfam family "Bacterial small subunit ribosomal RNA", at positions 28 to 523 of the family's 1533-position model. The record is from RNAcentral.
AGCGAACGCUGGCGGCAGGCUUAACACAUGCAAGUCGAGCGGGCCCUUCGGGGUCAGCGGCGGACGGGCGAGUAACGCGUGGGAACGUGCCCUCUGGUCUGGAAUAUCCCUGGGAAACUAGGGCUAAUACCGGAUACGCCCUUUUGGGGAAAGGCUUGCUGCCGGAGGAUCGGCCCGCGGCUGAUUAGCUAGUUGGUGGGGUAACGGCCUACCAAGGCGACGAUCAGUAGCUGGGCUGAGAGGAUGAUCAGCCACGCCGGGACUGAGACACGGCCCAGACUCCGACGGGAGGCAGCAGGGGGGAAUAUUGGAAAAUGGGCGCAAGCCUGAGCCAGCGAUGCCGCGUGAGUGAUGAAGGCCUUAGGGUUGUAAAGCUCUUUUAUCCGGGACGAUAAUGACGGUACCGGAGGAAUAAGCCCCGGCUAACUUCGUGCCAGCCGCCGCCGUAA